GCCCUCGGGGCUGCAUGUUGGAGAGUGGCCGACAAGGGUGGAUCCCAUCACAGGGUCUGCCCCAGCUUGUGUGAGUACACAUAUGCACGUCCCCAAAGCUUUCGCGCAUUCCCGCGUGUGCUGACACUGGACAGGUUCUCGGCUCACAGCACAAGGUUCAACCUUCUUGCACUCCACCCUCAAGCAGCCUGUGUUUCAUCGGGGUAGACAGAUAAUGAACCGUAGGCAAACAGGAAGAGUCUUUGGGAGCGGCACAAGGACAACUCUUAUUUACCUGCAAUAAUGCAUGCCUGCACCAAUUCUCAGCCCCCACACUGAGCCACCAACCUGAGAGGCUUGAAGAGCCACAAAGAGGUCAUGUGAGGAUUUCUUUCUUCACUGCCUCUUCAUCUUCCAGGCUGGUGAGCACGACCUGAACCCCCUGUUCUCAUGAGUUUGUCCUUCCCCCCCCCCCCCCCCCCCCCCCGCCACUGCCCACUGCUGCCCUCCGGGUUAAGGUGUGCUGGGCACACACCCAGAGACCUUUGCACUGCAGUUGGGAAAGUUAUUUGUCGAGAAACUUUUUGCAUCUUUCUUUUCCUCUUGCUGCGGGCUUCUGCCUACAUAACUCUGCAAACUGCAAUGCUGGUUUCCUGUAAAAGCCAAGCAUCCUCCACCUGCUUUUCUCCAUGGAACACACCGAGUCCCUCCAGGUACCAGGGCUACCCCUGCACUGAGUGUGGAUGUGGCCACCACGUCUUGAACUAUGCCAUCUGUCUGUUUAGGCUGCUAUGAUGGCUUGAGGCAGACGUCAUGCCUUAUUCCGCCCUUAUGUAUCUGCAGUGCCUUGAACGGUGUCUGACCCAUAGGACAGUGGCCAGUAAGUGUUUAUUCGAUGGAUAAACAAAUACAGGGAUGUUCCGAGUGAAUGGCUCUGGAGUGCGCACAAGCGCUGUUCCAGUUCAGUGAAAAACGAACAUUUGGCCUCAGCUGGGGGCUCAUUCCGCUUUGGGCUCCAGGGUCAUUUCAGUUCAAGGCUCCGGUAAGGAAUGUGGGGUUUUGCCUGAGCCUGGGCAGGGCUGCUCUCUAAGGUCUGAGAGCAGCCAGCCAGCCGUGGGUACCUCAAUUAGGGGUGGAAAGGGGCCUUUCUUUGUGGAAAUCCCCACGGCCCAGGGCCUGGGACCAAUCCAUGGGGUCACAAGGCUGCGGCGGAGGCCGUGGUGGAGGCCGUGGUAGAGGCUGCGGCAGAGCCAGCCUGCACUUUGCACACACUGCCCGCCCCAGGCGUGACCUUGAUCUCGGACCCUCAGUGACUGCGUCUGACCUGGGACAAUACACAAUGCGGCUGGCACUGCCACAAGCGCCUCAUUGAGCUGGCUCCGAGCAUCCUGGAGGCGGGUGGAGAGGGUUGUUCAGUGAGGAUUCUUUGUUGAGGAGAAAACGCCGUGGCCGCCCACAUAAAUAUGCAAAGCCUCCCGAACCCUGGCCGUGGAAAGAAACCCACCCCGUCACCCCAGAACCAGAACCAGAAUUGCCUACCAAGGAGAAGGAGGGCUGGAAAGAGGGGACAGAUGCGGGCCAGGCCUCUGCCGGGGGCAGGACCAUGCUGUGCGAUCUGAUUCCAUGAGCCCGAUCUGCAGUGCAGUGGCCUUGGCAUCAGUUUUCAGUGGGGGACUUGAGGCUCAGCGAGGCCACAGUGCUUGACCAAGGCCACAUGAGGGUGGCUGAUCCUCAGAAGGACCAGAAAGUCCCCAAACAACAGGAGUGCAGUGAUUAUGACCCUCGGAGCAAUGAU
RNAcentral lists this long non-coding RNA (1774 nucleotides) under Sus scrofa (pig). RNAcentral's name for it is "lncRNA (ENSSSCG00055030033.1)". The record is from RNAcentral. Lineage: Eukaryota; Metazoa; Chordata; Mammalia; Artiodactyla; Suidae.